This 305-nucleotide ribosomal RNA is filed under the name uncultured bacterium. RNAcentral describes it as "bacterial SSU rRNA". It matches the Rfam family "Bacterial small subunit ribosomal RNA", at positions 335 to 636 of the family's 1533-position model. The record is from RNAcentral.
UGGCCUACGGGGGGCAGCAGUGAGGAAUAUUGGUCAAUGGGCGGAAGCCUGAACCAGCCAAGUCGCGUGAGGGAAUAAGGCCCUACGGGUCGUAAACCUCUUUUGCCGGGGAGCAAGGGCGGGGACGUGUCCCGGCCCGGAGAGUACCCGGAGAAAAAGCAUCGGCUAACUCCGUGCCAGCAGCCGCGGUAAUACGGAGGAUGCGAGCGUUAUCCGGAUUUAUUGGGUUUAAAGGGUGCGUAGGCGGCUUGGCAAGUCAGUAGUGAAAUCCAUGGGCUUAACCCAUGAACUGCUAUUGAAACUGU